AUCCUUUGCAGUUCCUAAGCAUGAUGGCAAGGUGUUCAUGCUUAGGUUCGAGAUGUGCCUCCCUCAAACUUUGUCAAGAUGUUUAAAGCCCAGUCCUGCCC
Molecule: small nucleolar RNA, 101 nt
Organism: Lemur catta (Ring-tailed lemur)
Lineage: Eukaryota; Metazoa; Chordata; Mammalia; Primates; Lemuridae
Product: small nucleolar RNA U13
Exons: 1
Source: RefSeq, a predicted model, not a curated record